CACGGGGGGAGCAAGCGUUGUUCGGAAUCACUGGGCGUAAAGGGCGUGUAGGCGGUCAGGUAAGUGGGAUGUGAAAUGCCCCGGCUCACCCGGGGACCGGCAUCCCAUACUGCUUGGCUUGAGUACGGGAGAGGAUGUGGGAAUUCCCGGUGUAGUGGUGAAAUGCGUAGAUAUAGGGAGGAACACCAGUGGCGAAGGCGACUACCUGGCCUGUUCUUGACGCUGAGGCGCGAAAGCUAGGGGAGCAAACGGG
This 253-nucleotide ribosomal RNA is filed under the name uncultured bacterium. RNAcentral describes it as "partial 16S ribosomal RNA". It matches the Rfam family "Bacterial small subunit ribosomal RNA", at positions 524 to 776 of the family's 1533-position model. The record is from RNAcentral.